GGGGAAGAAAUUCGGAGUCGCUCCAACCCCUGUGACAUACCUUAUGUUGCCUCGGCGGAUCAGCCCGCGCCCCGUAAAAAGGGACGGCCCGCCGCAGGAACCCUAAACUCUGUUUUUAGUGGAACUUCUGAGUAUAAAAAACAAAUAAAUCAAAACUUUCAACAACGGAUCUCUUGGUUCUGGCAUCGAUGAAGAACGCAGCAAAAUGCGAUAAGUAAUGUGAAUUGCAGAAUUCAGUGAAUCAUCGAAUCUUUGAACGCACAUUGCGCCCGCCAGUAUUCUGGCGGGCAUGCCUGUUCGAGCGUCAUUUCAACCCUCAAGCCCAGCUUGGUGUUGGGAGCUGCAGUCCUGCUGCACUCCCCAAAUACAUUGGCGGUCACGUCGAGCUUCCAUAGCGUAGUAAUUUACAUAUCGUUACUGGUAAUCGUCGCGGCCACGCCGUUAAACCCCAACUUCUGAAUGUUGACCUCGGAUCAGGUAGGAAUACCCGCUGAACUUAAGCAUAUCAAUAAGCGGAGGAA
Molecule: ribosomal RNA, 521 nt
Filed under: uncultured Fusarium
Lineage: Eukaryota; Fungi; Ascomycota; Sordariomycetes; Hypocreales; Nectriaceae
Description: eukaryotic LSU rRNA
Rfam family: 5.8S ribosomal RNA (bases 154-307)
Source: RNAcentral